UUCCCCUACGGGAGGCAGCAGUGGGGGAUAUUGCACAAUGGGGGAAACCCUGAUGCAGCGACGCCGCGUGGGUGAAGAAGCGCCUCGGCGCGUAAAGCCCUGUCAGCGGGGAAGAAAAUGACGGUACCUGAAGAAGAAGCCCCGGCUAACUACGUGCCAGCAGCCGCGGUAAUACGUAGGGGGCAAGCGUUAUCCGGAUUUACUGGGUGUAAAGGGGGCGCAGACGGCGAUGCAAGCCAGGAAUGAAAGCCCGGGGCCCAACCCCGGGACUGCUCUUGGAAAUGCGUGGCUAGAGUGCAGGAGGG
Molecule: ribosomal RNA, 305 nt
Filed under: uncultured bacterium
Lineage: Bacteria
Description: bacterial SSU rRNA
Rfam family: Bacterial small subunit ribosomal RNA
Source: RNAcentral